RNAcentral lists this long non-coding RNA (976 nucleotides) under Homo sapiens (human). RNAcentral describes it as "HSALNT0052938". The record is from RNAcentral. Lineage: Eukaryota; Metazoa; Chordata; Mammalia; Primates; Hominidae.
CCAAGGAAACAGCUGAGCCCCCACCUCAAAGAGGAAACGCAACCGCCACAGCCCCCGCCGCCACCUGCUCCGGAGCCAAACAACCAACAAAUUCCUGCUCAAUUCGAAGGGAUAAAGCGGACUGCUGAUUCACUCCUAGGAACGCCCGGGCUGUUUCCACUGAGGAUAGAGGCAUAGCUUAACAGGAAUGGGACGUCAUCGUGAACGCUCUGGCAGAGCCACCUGGGGACUUGAAGUUGCAGGUGGGCUGAAAAUUUGCCAAGAACACGGACGACUGGACAGUUCACUUUCAUUUGCAACAAUUUCCAAGAGGACCCUCGGUUACACAGCAUAAUUACAAAACUAAAGCAAACAUGUUAAAUGCCCUGCACCUUUUUUGAGAUGCCAAGUAUGGCCUUCUUGGGUGCCAUGAAGCAUUAAGAUAGCCUCAGGCAUCAGCACACAUUCCAGGUCCAAAUCCAAUUCCCACGGCCCAGCAGGCAAGCUGGGACAGUGGAAAUGCGAGUAUAUGGCCCAGCAUUACUCCGGAGGACUGUGGGGGUGAGCGUGCCACUUCCCAGAACCGUGGCUCUGACAGCUUCAACUGCACUCACGUCAGUGCUAUUAAGAGAUGUUCCUACCUUCAAACAUUGUGAAAUCUCACCCCGCUCCGAGGACACAUCCCUCCAGAUCUGUCUCCGAUCAACACGGGAGGCUGUGCUUUGUGCUAUUAAAAAUUUCUCUGGAACAAGAAGGGCAAAAUGCUGAUGCUUCAUGAUGCAUACAUGGGGGUUUGUUACACAAUUAUCUCCAUUUUGUGCACAUUUAAAAAAUUUCCAUAAUAAAAAGUUCAAAGUAUAAAAAUUUGUCUGGGGAUUAAAUCAUUGUCAGAUGCAAGAACUAUGCGCCCAGACUGGGCUUCAGUCCAGGUGGGAGAGACUCUGAUUUGUAGGUGAUUGAUUGUUAUUUCCAAGGAGAAUGUUAGGGGUUUAAAAAC